This 253-nucleotide ribosomal RNA is filed under the name uncultured bacterium. RNAcentral describes it as "partial 16S ribosomal RNA". It matches the Rfam family "Bacterial small subunit ribosomal RNA", at positions 524 to 776 of the family's 1533-position model. The record is from RNAcentral.
UACGUAGGGUGCGAGCGUUAAUCGGAAUUACUGGGCGUAAAGCGUGCGCAGGCGGUUUUGUAAGCCAGAUGUGAAAUCCCCGGGCUUAACCUGGGAAUGGCAUUUGGGACUGCAAGGCUCGAGUGCGGCAGAGGAGACUGGAAUUCCUGGUGUAGCAGUGAAAUGCGUAGAUAUCUGGAGGAACAUCGGUGGCGAAGGCGACAUCCUGGACCGGUAUUGACGCUGAGGCGCGAAAGCCAGGGGAGCAAACGGG